This 253-nucleotide ribosomal RNA is filed under the name uncultured bacterium. RNAcentral's name for it is "partial 16S ribosomal RNA". It matches the Rfam family "Bacterial small subunit ribosomal RNA", at positions 524 to 776 of the family's 1533-position model. The record is from RNAcentral.
UACGUAGGGGGCUAGCGUUGUCCGGAUUUAUUGGGCGUAAAGAGCGUGUAGGCGGCCAGGUAGGUCCGGUGUGAAAACUCGAGGCUUAACCUCGAGAUGUCAUCGGAAACCAUCUGGCUAGAGUCCGGAAGAGGAGAGUGGAAUUCCUGGUGUAGCGGUGAAAUGUGUAGAGAUCGGGAGGAACACCGGUGGCGAAGGCGGCCUUCUGGACGGUGACUGACGCUGAGGCGCGAAAGCGUGGGGAGCAAACGGG